RNAcentral lists this long non-coding RNA (1398 nucleotides) under Chrysolophus pictus (golden pheasant). Its description in RNAcentral is "lncRNA (ENSCPIG00010003567.1)". The record is from RNAcentral. Lineage: Eukaryota; Metazoa; Chordata; Aves; Galliformes; Phasianidae.
CUCCAUUACGGUCAUCUGCAGCGCCCCGCCACAGCGCCUCCGUGUGGACGGAUGUCGAAUUACACACAGCGGGGGGCGCGCCGUGGUGAGCGGGGGAACAACGGGGGUGAAUGGGGAUCGGGUCCUGGAAGGGGAAUAGUGAGGGUGGAUAUAGUGGGGGUGAAUGGGAUUUGGGUCCUGGAAGGGGAAUAGUGGGGCUGGAUAUAGUGGGUGUGAAUGGGGGUGAAUGGGAUUUGGGUCCUGGAAGGGGAAUAAUGGGGGUGAAUGGGAUUGGGUCCUGGAAGGGGAAUAGUGGGGGUGGAUAUAGUGGGGGUGAAUGGGGAUUGGGUCCUGGAAGGGGAAUAGUGAGGGUGGAUAUAGUGGGGGUGAAUGGGGAUUGGGUCCUGGAAGGGGAAUAAUGGAGGUCCUGUAAGGGGAUAAUGGGGGUGAAAGGGAUUUGGGUCCUGGAAGGGGAAUAGUGAGGGUGGAUAUAGUGGGAGUGAAUGGGGCUUGGGUCCUGGAAGGGGAAUAGUGGGGAUGGAAUAAUGGGCAUAAUGGGGGUGAAUGGGAUUUGGGUCCUGGAAGGGGAAUAGUGGGGGUGAAUGGGGAUUGGGUCCUAGAAGGGGAAUAGUGGGUUCCUGUAAGGGUAUAAUGGGGGUGAAUGGGAUUUGGGUCCUGGAAGGGGAAUAGUUGGGUCCUGGAAGGGAUUAAUGGGACAGAAUGGGAUUUGGGUCCUGGAAGGGGAAUAAUGGGGUCCUAUAAGGGAGUAAUGGUGGCCUGAAUAGUGGGGAUGAGUGGGAUUUGGGUCCUGGAAGGGAAAUAGUGAGAAUGGAUAUAGUGGGGGUGAAUGGGGAUUGGGUCCUGGAAGGGGAAUAGUGAGGGUGGAUAUAGUGGAGGUGAAUGGGGAUUGGGUUCUGGAAGGGGAAUAGUGGGUUCCUGUAAGGGUAUAAUGGGACAGAAUGGGAUUUGGGUCCUGGAAGGGGAACAGUGGUUUCCUAUAAGGCCAUAAUGGGGGUGAAUGGGGAUUGGGUCCUGGAAGGGGAAUAGUGGGGUCCUGGAAGGAGAAUAAUGGGGUCCUGGAAGGGGAUAAUGGGGGCGAAAGGGCNNNNNNNNNNNNNNNNNNNNNNNNNNNNNNNNNNNNNNNNNNNNNNNNNNNNNAGUGAGGGUGGAUAUAGUGGGGGUGAAUUGGAUUUGGGUCCUGGAAGGGGAAUAGUGGGGCUGGAUAUAGUGGGUGUGAAUGGGGGUGAAUGGGAUUUGGGUCCUGGAAGGGGAAUACUGGGAGUGAAUGGGGAUUGGGUCCUGGAAGGGGAAUAGUGAGGGUGGAUAUAGUGGGAGUGAAUGGGACUUGGGUCCUGGAAGGGGAAUAGUGCGGCUGAAUGGGAUUUGGGUCCUGGAAGAGGAAUAGUGUGGCUGAAUGUG